RNAcentral lists this ribosomal RNA (235 nucleotides) under uncultured Staphylococcus sp. RNAcentral describes it as "partial 16S ribosomal RNA". It matches the Rfam family "Bacterial small subunit ribosomal RNA", at positions 105 to 334 of the family's 1533-position model. The record is from RNAcentral. Lineage: Bacteria; Bacillati; Bacillota; Bacilli; Caryophanales; Staphylococcaceae.
GGUGAGUAACACGUGGAUAACCUACCUAUAAGACUGGGAUAACUUCGGGAAACCGGAGCUAAUACCGGAUAAUAUUUUGAACCGCAUGGUUCAAAAGUGAAAGACGGUCUUGCUGUCACUUAUAGAUGGAUCCGCGCUGCAUUAGCUAGUUGGUAAGGUAGCGGCUUACCAAGGCAACGAUGCAUAGCCGACCUGAGAGGGUGAUCGGCCACACUGGAACUGAGACACGGUCCAG